RNAcentral lists this ribosomal RNA (1435 nucleotides) under uncultured bacterium. Its description in RNAcentral is "bacterial SSU rRNA". It matches the Rfam family "Bacterial small subunit ribosomal RNA". The record is from RNAcentral.
AAUGAACGCUGGCGGCGUGCCUAAGACAUGCAAGUCGCACGAGAAAGUAGCAAUAUGAGUAAAGUGGCGCACGGGUGAGUAAUAUUUAGGUAAUAUGCCUUUCCGCGGGGAAUAACUAGGCGAAAGCUUAGCUAAUACCGCAUGAUCCGAUGAUGGCUCAGGUCAUUUUCGGUAAAGCCGUAAGGCGCGGAAAGAGUAGCCUGAAUCCCAUUAGCUAGUUGGUAAGGUAACGGCUUACCAAGGCUUUGAUGGGUAGGUGGUCUGAGAGGGCGAUCACCCACACUGGAACUGAGACACGGUCCAGACUCCUACGGGAGGCAGCAGUUAGGAAUCUUGCGCAAUGGGAGAAAUCCUGACGCAGCAACGCCGCGUGAGGGACGAAGGCCUUCGGGUUGUAAACCUCUUUUGGUUGGGACGAUUCAGGACGGUACCAACAGAAAAAGCACCGGCUAACUCUGUGCCAGCAGCCGCGGUGAUACAGAGGGUGCUAGCGUUAUUCGGAAUUACUGGGCGUAAAGCGCGCGCGGGCUGUUUGGCAAGUCUACUGUGAAAGCCUCCGUUUCAAGCGGAGAAGUGCAGUAGAUACUACCAGACUAGAGUGCAGGAGGGAGGAGCGGAAUUCCAGGUGUAGAGGUGAAAUUCGUAGAUAUCUGGAGGAACAACGGUGGCGAAGGCGGCUCCUUGGACUGUAACUGACGCUGAGGCGCGAAAGCGUGGGGAGCAAACAGGAUUAGAUACCCUGGUAGUCCACGCUGUAAACGAUGGUCACUAGAUGUCGGGAGAACUUACCCUUCCGGUGUCGUAGCUAACGCGUUAAGUGACCCGCCUGAGUAUUACGGCCGCAAGGUUAAAACUCAAAGAAAUUGACGGGGGCCCGCACAAGCAGUGGAGUAUGUGGUUUAAUUCGAGGCAACGCGAAGAACCUCACCUGGGUUUGACAUCCGAGGCUAUCCUAUGAAAGUAGGAGUUCCCGCAAGGGACCUCGAGACAGGUGCUGCAUGGCUGUCGUCAGCUCGUGUCGUGAGAUGUUGGGUUAAGUCCCGCAACGAGCGCAACCCUUGUCCUUAGUUGCCAGCAUUAAGUUGGGCACUCUAGGGAGACCGCUUGCCGAUAAGGCAGAGGAAGGUAGGGAUGACGUCAAGUCCGCAUGGCCCUUACGCCCAGGGCCACACACGUACUACAAUGGUAGACACAGAGCGUCGCAAACCCGCGAGGGGGAGCUAAUCGCAGAAAUUCUAUCUCAGUUCGGAUUGGAGUCUGCAACUCGACUCCAUGAAGUUGGAAUUGCUAGUAAUCGCGGAUCAGCACGCCGCGGUGAAUACGUUCCCGGGCCUUGUACACACCGCCCGUCACGCCAUGGGAGUUGGUAGUACCCGAAGAGAUUUUACUAACCGCAAGGAGGUAAAUUUCAACGGUAAUACCGAUGACUGGGGUG